This is a long non-coding RNA of Salvia miltiorrhiza (redroot sage), 691 nucleotides long. RefSeq lists it as uncharacterized. The transcript is spliced from 4 exons. The record is from RefSeq and is a predicted model, not a curated record. Lineage: Eukaryota; Viridiplantae; Streptophyta; Magnoliopsida; Lamiales; Lamiaceae.
AAUUUCUCUCACAAUAUGAGAGGAUUAAAAAAAUGCUUCUUUUCUCAAGUAACGGCAUUAUUCUAUCAAUCUUCCCACAAAUCUCAAACAAUCGACUGUGUAAUUGAGAGAUAUAGUCUCUCUCACUCCUUCUCAAACAAUCGGCGCAGAUUCAGUCUCUCUCUUUCAAUUUCGAGGCACAAAAAUUGGCUGUGUAAUUGGGAGAUUCAGUCUCUCUCGCUCAAUCUCAAACAAUCAGCGCAGAUUCAGUCUCUCUCUUUCAAUUUCGAUGUCACAAAUUAGGGGUGUGCUUCAUCCAUGGCUGCAAAUGCCUCUUCUCAACAACUAUAGAUUCAUCCAUGGUUGCAAACGAGGCAGAUUCAGUUUAUCUCUCUUUCAAUUUCGAGGGCCCAAAUUUGAGAGGUGCUUCAUCCAUGGCUGCACCCUACACUACAUAUCCAUGAUUCAAGGCUAUUCCUCUACAAGUGGGCUUUAGAAAUUACAGAGAGAGGGAAAAGUUGCAGGUCAUUCUUCGUCCUUGGAGCAACAACAGAGUUUGGGAUUGGGCGCUUAGUACUGCGAAAAAAGUGUGCAGAGGCUGAAAGGCAUCUUGAGUACUUACCAAGAAAAGAAGGUUCUUCUUCAAGUUCAUAAAAGAUGAGAGGUAUUAUAGAUGAUUUAUCAUUGUACUAUGUUUUUGUGAUGGCUUGCU